AUGGAAUUUGUGCUCUGCUGGGUUUUCCUUCUUGCUCUUUUAAAAGGUGUCCAGUAUGAGAUGCAGCUGGUGGAGUCUGGGGGAGACCUGGUGAAGUCUGGGGUGUCCCUGAGACUCUCUUGUGCAGCCUCUGGAUUCACCUUCAGUAGCUACAGCAUGAACAGCUUCCACCAAGUUCCACAGAAGGGCCUGCAGUGGGUCGCAUGGAUUAGAUAUGAUGGAAGUAGCACAAGCUACACAGACUCUGUGAAGUGUCGAUUCACUAUCUCCAGAGACAACAUCUAG
Molecule: non-coding RNA, 285 nt
Organism: Lontra canadensis (Northern American river otter)
Lineage: Eukaryota; Metazoa; Chordata; Mammalia; Carnivora; Mustelidae
Source: the annotation of a RefSeq genome assembly